AGUGAACGCUGGCGGUAGGCCUAACACAUGCAAGUCGAACGGCAGCACAGUAAGAGCUUGCUCUUACGGGUGGCGAGUGGCGGACGGGUGAGGAAUACAUCGGAAUCUACUUUUUCGUGGGGGAUAACGUAGGGAAACUUACGCUAAUACCGCAUACGACCUACGGGUGAAAGCAGGGAAUCUUCGGACCUUGCGCGAUUGAAUGAGCCGAGGUCGGAUUAGCUAGUUGGCGGGGUAAAGGCCCACCAAGGCGACGAUCCGUAGCUGGUCUGAGAGGAUGAUCAGCCACACUGGAACUGAGACACGGUCCAGACUCCUACGGGAGGCAGCAGUGGGGAAUAUUGGACGAUGUGGGCAAGCCUGAUCCAGCCAUACCGCGUGGGUGAAGAAGGCCUUCGGGUUGUAAAGCCCUUUUGUUGGGGAAGAAAGGCAGCAGGUUAAUACCCCGCUGUUCUGACGGUACCCAAAGAAUAAGCACCGGCUAACUUCGUG
Molecule: ribosomal RNA, 492 nt
Filed under: uncultured bacterium
Lineage: Bacteria
Description: partial 16S ribosomal RNA
Rfam family: Bacterial small subunit ribosomal RNA
Source: RNAcentral